AGCCGCAAUUCUCAAAAGAACGAACCCACCCCCUUGUCAUCAUCUUCUUCGGCCCUCUCCAUUCUUCUGCCAUAGAACACAUACAACACAAUUCUGUUUCUGUAAUUAAAGCGUCAUCAUCACCAUCUUCCUUCAUUCUCUAAGCUUAAAAUCAUAAAUGAGUUACAAAUCAAAAUGGAUUGAAUAGGGUCUCCAGAUUUAAAUCUCAUUCGAAGUUCUUGUUAGUGGUGGUAUCGUCGAGCGUUAUGAUUUAUUUGUCUUGAUCCAGAUUCGAAAUACAACUGGGUGCUAUUGUUAGAUUUUAUUUCAGGGUUCAAAUCGGAUCGACAUCCUUGCUGUAUAAGUUUUUUCUUACUUAAUCAAAAUCAAGAGGAUUUUUUGCCCAAGAAAGGUCUAAUUCUCUUCUCUUACUCCUUGCAUAUUAUUCCUUUUUUUUACUUAUAAAUGACCUUAUGAAAUCAUCUUGUGGUUGAUAUUAUCAGUUGUGUGGUGUAUUUUUUAGCGAAAUAGUUGCUACAUUUGGAAUAACUGCCUCUAUUAACGUUUUCCAUCUAAUUCUUAUUCUUGUGUUCUUUUUUUCUUUUGUUGUGUAAUUCUAUUUCUCUCUCAAUUAAUGAGUUACUUCUCUAUGAUGGGCUAUCAUAUUAUAUUGUUUAUGUGAUUUCUUCAUUGCUUUAGAUAAAUUAGAUUCUUUUCGUGUGAUUCAAAGCCAUUGAUUGACAGGUUAUAUAGGUAUGAUAUUCUUUUAUAUAGGAUUUUUUUCGUGUGAUUCAAGCCAUUGAUUGAUAGGUUAUAUAUGUACGAUAUUCUUUUAUAUAUUGUAGAAAGAUUCAAUCUUCUUAGCAAAAUGAGUAAUGAAGAUAUCACAUCCAGCAAAUGGCUGUUAGACGAUUAGUUUAAGAAAAAUAAUUAAUGAAUAUCCGUUGCUUGCUUUAGGCGCGAUUGAUGAACCAUUGUGACUAUGGGUAUGGUUCCCGUGAUAUAGUUAUGGUACCUAAUUUCUUAAACUCGGGUGUGCAUUUCAUGUGACCCAAAUCCGAAUCUCAACAACGUUAAAUAAAAUGUGUCAUGGAUCGUGGGUGCAUUUCAUGUGACGUGGUUCAAGAUGUGUUUUAGAUAACGUCGAAUCUUCCUAAAAUUAAUUAAAAGCGGAUAAUAAGUUAAAAAUGUAACAUAGGCUAAAACAUGUAUUAAAAUCAAAUAAUAAGCCAAUUAUGAUUGUUUAAGCCCAUGCUCGAACCACAGAAUCUGGGGGUGCCUAACACCUUCCCUCGGGUUAACAGAAUUCCUUAUUCAGAAUUUUUGAUUUGCAGACUUCACAAGGAAAGUCAAAUUUUCCUCGAUUUGGGAUUUAAAAUAAAAAGGCGACUUUGGACACCAGAAAAUCCAAGUGGUCGCUCUGAAUAAAAUUAAAUAAAUAAUCUCAUUUCGAAUAAUAUCACUUAAAUUGGAAAAACCCCCUUAUGCACUAUCUUUUGGUGUGUAUGUAAAAAGGAGGUGUGAUAAACGCAGACGCAGUAAAAACGUAUUAUGUCUAUGCUCUUUGAAACAAUGACUUUGUUCAAGGCUUUCAUUUCUGCUAUCCAAACACUAUCAACCCUUUGUCAAACCCAUUUGAGCCGGUUACUUUUCUUUGGUUACUCUCUGGAACCCAAAAGUGUUGUUAAAAAAAAAAAUAACGAACAAAGAAAAAACAAAAAAAAGUGAACAAAAUUGAAAAAAUAACAAAUCAAAAAAUAAAAACAAAAGAAAAUCAAAAACAAAGUUUUACCGAACUACGUCUGACUUGAUUCCGAAAGGAUACGUAGGCAGCCUUUCUCUGGGGUUCUAUCAUACCAGUACAAAAAUCCCAAUUCCCCCCCCCCACCCCUAAUAACAAAACUGGGGCAGAUGAUAUAAUGGUUUGGCCAAAAGCCCACCACCAUGGUUCCAAAGUUGUAAUUUCAUCCAAAUUCCUUUCACCCAAAACCCUUCCAAGUCAUUCCGAUCAAUUGGUAAAGGCCUCAGAAUGGGAAAACUCCGUUGUUGGAGGCCGGUGCAACCAAACUAAGAGAAACAAAAUGAGAGAGUCUUAUUGGUGAAAUCAUACGGGCACCAUAAGGCGACGAUGAGUAGAGAAAUUGAAAAUGAGAGUGUCCGCUUAGUGAAAACUCGCAAAGAGCACUAUCGGGCGACGGUGAGAAGAGAAAGGAGAGAUGUCGAUUGGCGAAAACCCUAAAAGGGCAUCAUCAGCCGAAAAGAAGAUUGUUCAUCAUCGAAAGUCCUGGCAAGACUCCCUGGUUUUUGAAAUACGGGUUAAUGAGCUUAUGAGAAGCAGGGAAAAGUUUGUGCAAGUCGGGCAUCCAGCCUAAGAAGCAUGUCAUGUCUAUUUGAAGUCCGCAUGCACCCCAGAUUAGUCCUUAUUUUCUCCCCGAAAGGGAUGUUUUUCUUUAAUUUCAUUUUCUUACGUCACAUACUUUCCUUGAAUCCCUUUCGUUUUAACUCUGUCCCCCCGAACUAAUACAAAGAAAAGGUGGCAAGAUUGGAUUUACAGAGCUCUGCCUAACAAAAGCCGCCAAGGGAUAUCCAACCUCAGCGGGCGUAUCUAGCCAGUGCCGACUGGACAUGAUGGCUGAUGCUUCGAAAGCAAAGUGGUUGAAAAGAAAGGAAAUCAAAGUCAAAUGCUCAUAAAGGCAAAAUGAAGUUAAAAGGUUGAGUCCCAUAGGGCUAAUUGCCUUGGCAAUGUUUUCAAACGCCAAUGUACCAGAAGUUUGAAUAAAGAAGUCAAAAAAAAUGAAAGGACUACGAAGGCAAAAUAAAUCUGAAAGUUGAGUUCCACCGACCAACUAUCAAGGAAAAGUCUGGAAAAUCAGAGGUUCUUAACAGAAGCAAGGCCGAGAUCAAGCAAUCAAGGCCACAAAACCAACCACCGUUUCAAACUAACAAUUGUUCUUUGUUUGCAAAUUGAAACAAAUGCAAUUCAAGCAACCAGGCAAAAGCAGGUGCAGCCCCAAAAGAAAUGCACAGGUGCUAGGGACGGCUUCACAGCGACAAUAAGCCAAAAAGGGAAGUUUUCUUCAAAUUCUUUCACGCAGUUUUAAUAAAAGAGGAAAUAAAAAAGGAAUAUAACAAGAUCAAGGUAGCAUAGGUUCGCCAAUCUCUAGCUACAUCAUCCCCAAACCUAGGACCACAUUCCCUAGUUUUACCUAGCAUAACCUAUGGACCUCCCCAGCAUAACCCGAGGAUCUUUUCUUUUCCUCCUGACAUAGCCCGAGGGAUAUUUUUCCUUUUUCCCCGCAUAACCUGAGGAUCUUUUCUUUACCUCCCCGGCAUAACCCGAGGGUCAUUUUCCUUUUAUCCCCAGCAUAACCUGAGGAUCUUUUUUCUUUCUCCCAAGCAUAACUUGAGGAUCUUUAAUUUUCCUCCCCGGCAUAACCCGAGGGUCAUUUUCCAUCUAUUCCCAGCAGACCUCCUUUUUCCUCUAUCCCGGCAUAACAUGUGGAUCCUCCUGGCAUUACCCAGGAGCCUUUUCUUCUAUCCCAGCAUAACCCAUGGAUCCUCUCUGGUAUAACCCAGAAGCCUUUUUCUUCCUAUCCCGGCAUAGCCCGUGGAUCUCCCUGGCAUAACCUAGGGACCUUCUUCUUCUAUCCCGGCAUAACCCGUGGAUCCUCCCUGGCAUAACCCAGGAACCUUUUCUAUCCCAGCAUAACCCAUGGAUCCUCCCUGGCAUAACCUAAGGACCCUUUUUUUUCCCCGGCAUAACCCACAGAUCUUCCCUGGCAUAACCCAAGGACCUUUUUCUUUUAUCCCGGCAUAACCCGUGGAUCUCCUUGACAUAACCCAAGGACAUUUUUCCUCUAUCCUAGCAUAUCACAGGAGCCUUUUCUCCUAUACCGGCAUAACCCGUGGAUCCUCCCUGGCAUAACACAGGACCCAUUUCUUAUCCCGACAUAACCCGUGGAUCUCCCUGGCUAACCCAAGGAUCUUUUUCCUCUAUCUCGCAUAACCCAUAGAUCCUCCCUGGAAUAACCCAGGAGCCUUUUCCUCUAUCCCGGCAUAACUGGAUCCUCUCUGGCAUAACCCAGGACCCUUUUCUUAUCCCGUCAUAACACGUGAAUCUCCUUGCAUAACCUAAGGACAUUUUUUCUCUAUCCCGACAUAACCCAUGGAUCCUCCCUAGCAUAACCCAUGAGCCUUUUCUCCUAUCCCGGCAUAAAAUGUGGGUCCUCUCUGGCAUAACCAAUGACCCUUUUCUUCUAUCCCGGCAUAACCUGUGGAUCCUCUCUUGCAUAAGCCAUGAAUUUUUUCUUAUCUCGACAUAACCCGUAGAUCUCUGUGGCAUAACCCAAGGAACUUUUUCUCUAUCCCGACAUAACUCGUGGACUUUCUAUUUAUCCCCUAGCAGGAACCCUUUUCAAUCCCGGCAUAACCCAUAUAUCUAAGAUUUCACUCCCAAGAAUACAGAAUCCUGAUUUUUAUUAUUCUCAAGGAAUAAUAGUUUAGAUUUUUGCGUUGCAAAUAACUCACAAAAUUUUCCUAACAAACUGGGGAAGAACAAUUUCGUUCGUUUAUUUGUUUUGGUGUCUGAACAAGUUUUUACCUCAAGGCACAUGAUUCGAGAUGACGGGAGGGGUGAAUCUUUCAUACAGAAUAAAAGAAAAGAAGAAAAGAACAAGAAAAAAGAAGUGCACUCAAAGAGUUUGAGAAAGGAAAGGAUGCAGAUUGCUCGAAUUUGAUUCAAGAUCACAAGAUUCGCAUGUCCCACUCUGAUCCAUUGCUGAAGAAAGAACCAGGACCUACAGCUUACGAGUAUCAAGAUUCAGGUCAGGCAUCCACAGUCAGCUAAGACUCAAGAUCAAGCUUCAAGAAAUUCAUAAGUAGGAAUCUUGUAAUUCGUAGUUGAUAGACAUAGCUAGCUUAGCUUUUGAUUUUCCUUUUGGAUGUAAUAAAGAGGUCAGCAAGCAGUAGCAGUAGCAACAGCAGUGAAAUCACAACUCGUGGUAGUCCCAACUACCAAAACUUCCAGAACUACACUGACCUAAUUCCUUUAUAGCCAGGGAUAUGUAGGCAACUUCUGAAACAAGGUUCAGUCAGACCUUUUCAAAAAUGUUUCUCAUGGAGUGCCAAGCAGGCAAAAAUCCUUCAUAAUUGCUCAUUUCUCUUUACUCGAAAACCCUUUGUGUCUCCAAACAAAGAGGGAACGCUGUGAGCACAUGAUUGUCUAUAGACCUCUUAAAAUUAGGAUUUUUUUAUUUUAUUUUUAGGAUUUAGUUGCAUAAUUUUGUGUGUAUUUUUAUUUGUGUGAGCACGUUUAGUUUUAAAUAAUUCACAAAAAAAAUACAUAAUAUUACAUUUGCAUUUAGGACCCAAUUUUAAUAUUUUUAGGUUUACUAGUUAAUUAACAGUACGAAAAUUAAGGAAAAUAACAAAAAAAAUAGUUCUUUUGCAUUUUUACUUUUAAUUUUUUAAUUUGUCAUAGUUUUCUUUUAAAACUAGGAUAUAAUUAAUUUUUGGAAAAAAUAAUUAGUUUAAUGUCGGAAUUAAAUCAAGUCUUUAAGUUUAAUUUGUAUUCAACCAAAAAUUUGAAAAAAUGAAAAAUGAGAAAAUAAAAAGAAAUUAAAAGAAUUGGGUUUUGUCUUAUUAAAAGACUCUAAAUUUAGGCCAAACUCAAUUCCAGCCCAAAAUAUUGCCCAAACCCGUCGAACGCAGCCCAUGCCCAACCUUAAAGCCACCCGGUCCGACCCUUAAUAACUUAAACGACAUUGUUUCGUGGGGUUAAAUCAGGACCGUCGAGGUUCUUGAUCGGACGGUCUUGAAGCUUGGUUUCCUUAAUAUAUAUAUAUAUAUAUAUAUAUAUAUAUGUAUGUAUAUAUAUAUAUAUGUAUGUAUGUAUAUAUAUAUAUAUAUAUAUAUAUGUCCAAACGACCCCUACCCCCCCAAGACCUCCUGCCCUCUCAUCUCUCAGACCCCAAACACUAACUCCGCCACCUACCACUACAAACUGCCGGCCGAAAAUCGUCUCUGCCGGCGGCGAUUUCCUAAUGACUCCCAAAUUAACACCACUUGAACAUCUCGUCCUCCUCUUUCCAAAUCCACGCUCCAUUUCCUUCAAAUCCCACCAUAGCUCAUUGAAUCUUAGCCAGAAGCACCGACUCCAUCGCCGUGCAUGGCAGCACAACCACCCAAAUAAACACCAUAGGUUCUCCUAGUCAUCCUCACCAUGAAUCUGCUAUCAUCUCCCUUAAAAUAACACCCAAUCCCUUCGAAUAUUUGAUUUAAAGGAGGCGGCCAAAACCUUACCACCUCUAAAUCACUCCAAAUUAACAUCGGAGGACUCCUGACCUUCUCUCACUCCAAAUUCUCAUCCAUAAUCCAUAGAAAGUUCCCCAAAUCUCUCAAAUUUCAAAUCACAAAAAGCAGAACCCUAGGGCAUGCAUUUUCUGGGGCCAUGUUUUCAGUGUCACGAAGUCUAGAGUUUGAUUUAGUCACGAAAUCAUGUUUUCUGUUUGUUCUUGGCAAAGAACAAAUGAUUAACAUUAUAUUUGACUCAAAUCGGAAUGCAACCAUGUUCAAGUGCAUUUGGCGAGUUUUUCUUAAUUUGUUUAGAUCCAUUCUUCCUCUUUUCCUCUUCAAAGUACGAUGUCUCCUUGCCUCUAUGUGUGAUCAAUUUGUGCAUCGAUUUUUUGCUUGCCGGUUUUCUUAAAUUCUUUUGAGUCUUAAUUUCUUCUUCUCUGUUCAUACUAAUAACAUGAUUUUUGUAUUUUAGUUAAUUUUUGUUUGUUUCUUAAUUUUCUGUUUGACUGAUAAUCGAUAAUAGUAGUCUUUAAUUCUGACUUUUAAAGCUUAAAAUAGGUUUAGUUCGAUUAGUAGUUCAAUUUUGGGGGUUUAGUUAUAAUUAGAUUUCCUUUUAAUAAUUCGAGCCUAUGUAAUUAAUCAUGGUCGGCAUUGACCAAGUUAAAAGGGGUUGAUAUAGUUGGAUUUAGUUUUAACUUAACGUAGGUUAGUAAUUUUAGGGGACAAUCAAGGGUAAUUGGGGUAUUUCUAUAGAGGAAUUUCUUAGUAACUGAAAGUAGAACCCCCUAGAACCUUCUAGAUUGGGGUUCUAAUUUGAAAUUCAGGAAUCGGGUGGUAUAACUUGGGUAACAAGUAAGGAUACUAAGGAAUUUUAAGCAAAAACUUAAAAUAAAAAAGGACUAAAAGCUAAAAUACAAUCUGGGACUUACCCUAAUUCCUUGCCUAUAAAGGCAUGCCUUCUUGCCUUGCAAGAAAAGAGAGAGAAAAAUUACAUUUAGAGAGAAUUUUUCGAAAACUAAAAAAAACUUGAGAGAAUACAGAACUGGAGGGCUGAGAUAUCCAAAAAUAAAGCUCCAAUCAGUUAAAACAAAAUCAAAAAAUCACUAUUUCAUUAAGUUUUUGCCUUGAAUUUUGAAAUUUUGAUUUGCUGAGGCUAUUCUCUGACUUCUGUGGGGUUUAAAAUGGAUUGAGAUCUUGGUAUAAAAAGUUUGGCUUUGGCUAUUUGCUUUUGUGGUGCAUUUGGGGUUUUAUGUUUGAAAUUAGGUCUGGGAUUUGAAGCUUGCUCUGCUGAUUUCUGUAUUGUUACCUUGUUGUAUUGCUGCUGCUGUUUCACUUUGAACUUCAACUCAUUUUCAUUGUUAAUUUGAUGUAAUCAGGUACCAAUUCCUGAAAUUUUUCAUGAUUUUGGCUUGAAGUGGAAAUGAAAUGUUGAAUUUGAUAACAUUAAUCUCCGUGGAUUGAAUUAGCUAAAUUCAUUCUGUGUAAAUGGCCUUAGUUCUGGAUUAAUUGAAAGGUUGUGGACUCAUUGUAUUAGGAGUAUUAUUAGUUUGUAUUAUAUAUGGC
RNAcentral lists this long non-coding RNA (7836 nucleotides) under Nicotiana benthamiana. RNAcentral describes it as "long non-coding RNA (NBEN_LNC019184)". The record is from RNAcentral. Lineage: Eukaryota; Viridiplantae; Streptophyta; Magnoliopsida; Solanales; Solanaceae.